CUCAGAGCAUGGAGUCGCGCUUUUGUCUGGCCCUCAUUGUUCUUCUCAACCCGAGACCCUGGGCUGAUAUGAAUUUGAUAUGACAGUAAAGUGCCAAUUAUGUACAUAUGUACGAGGCCUCACACCCUACCCCACCCCUCGCUCCCUUUACAGCUGUGAAAAGCCCGAGACGUGAGGAAGAGAGGGCCGGAAAGAGAUAAGGAGGCAAUGCCAUGGCCCGACACCCCUGAACUCAUUGCUACGUUCUUCCCAUUGACCCUAAAGUCAUUCGCUGCUGCUGCCUCAUCUCACAUCACCUUCAGCUCCGUCUCUCAUUCAUGGAACGUCUUGGAGAGGAUGAUCAUCGUUACAAACAGACAUAUCUGAGACACCGUGGGGCGGCGGUGGCACUCCAAGACAGGGCUCAUCAGCGUGUCUUCUUUAAAAGCAAGGAGCGCUGGUAGUGGCAGCCCAGGAGAGGCAGUGUCUGUCUGAGCAUGGAUGCUGCCCUGUCACCCACCCCACUGCUUCCACUUCAGCAGCAACAACACCCUGGGAGCCCUGAGACAAGGUCUGCAUACAGAGAAGCCAGAAAACAAAGCUGUGUGGUGCAAUUUCACAAAAUAACGUCUUGCAGAGCCAAUACAGCUUUCUUUGAUCACUGUCAGAUUUUUUUUUCUUUACCCCCAACAUUUUAAACCUUAAAAAUGUUGCAGUUCAUUUGUGAGAACGUGCAUUUAGAAAGCUUUUCCAGCAGCAACAGUAACAACACAGCUAAUAACUACAGUCUAGUGUCGCCCCAGAAAAAUAUUCACUUGACACUUACUUUCUUAUCUGUUCCCAUGAGCUCUCGCUGAUACCACAUAAAUUGUUUGGUCUGUUCUGAGAAGUGGAUUAUGAAAAGAAAAUCGAUUUGCAUUUGUUGUCUAACAAACACAUACAUUUCAAACAUACAUUUUAGUGUUGUCUCAGACUCUAACCCUUUUUCAGUUGGAUGAAAGGGUUUGUCUUGUUGGCUACUUUUCACCAACAAACUAGUGUAAGUUAUGCUUUCUUUUUAGAGGUAAAUGUCAGUAAAAUCAAAGAAAUUACUAUUGAUUUUAGGAAAAAUAAAUAUGCCAUCUGUCUUGUGCACAUUAAUAAUCAGACAGUUGAAGCUGAGGAGGAAUACAAAUAUCUGGGUACAAAAAUAGGCGCUGUAUGCAAGAAAUCUCACCAAUAUAUGUACUUUUAUCCUAAAUUAAGACAUUUUAUUGUUUACUGCCAUUUUAAACAUUGUUUUACAGUUGUUUUAUUGAAUCUGUAUAUAUUUUUCUUUUAUUUAAUGAGUUAUUGACACAGAAAAAUAACGUCAUCACGUUUUCAGUCUUUGCAGAAUAAAGUUCCAUGGCCCGUAACACACAUCUCCACUCUCCUCAAACACAGAUCGGUCAAGAAAACCACCUGCAGUUCACAGAGUUUUCUGUUUUACCAUCAGGACGCAGAUCUGCUGUAAAAAAAACUGCAGGACCAACAGAUUUAAGAAUUUAUUUUUCCCUGCUUUUACCAUCCUUUUAAACACUUCUAGUUGAGUGUUGUGUGUGUCGGUCUCUGAGAAUGUGUUUUUUUAUGUCUAUACUAUGGUGGUUUUUAUUGCACUCACUGUAUGUACCAUAGGAGAAUGCUUUUUCUGCUGGCUGUAAAGCAAAUUGUCCCAUGGGGAUACUAAGAAUAUCGCGAUUCCCUUAAUUUUUUAUUUUUUAUCUACUUUAACACAUUUUUAUUGAGUAUGUAAGCACUCUGAUUGUCUGUAUAGUUUAUGCUACUUGUAAUCUAUUUUCUUCUCGUAUAGCCACUUGGCUAUACAGGAAAAGCUGAUCUGGAAAUGUCAAACCUUUUAGGGGUUUCGUUAGAACAGUUAUAAAAUCUCAUUGAGCAAAUUCAAUUAAAGGAUCAGCCUCAUUUUCCGUCCUGUUCCACCUUAAAUGUGAUAUUAAAGUUGUUUUUAUUUUAGAGAUUUAUUUUAUCAGUCCAUUAUAAGAAGAUUAUCUUCAUCACUAUAAAACAGUAAAUAAAGAGCAUUCUCCACUUAACCUGACAUAGAUAAUUGUUUAUAUAACACGUCCUGCUUCUGCACAAAAGUCCAGCUUUUGCUAUGGUGGAUGACUUAUUUCAUUAAUUGCAGCUCUCUACUUCACACUACAUACUAACAUUCUCUUUCAGUUUGUCUGGUCAAAUUUUUGAAGCUAGAUAAAACUUUGUCACCAACACAGUAUGUUCAGAAAACCAUAAUAUUACCAGCUUUUGUUUUAUAUUUGUUCCUAAUUUCUUUUAGUAGAAGUUAAUUUCCACCUCCUGCCUUCUCUCUGCAUUUUGGCCCCCCAUGUCACCUUUACAUGACAGCAUCACUUUCAUUUAAAUUUACAAUUACGUAUUACGUCGUGUCGGCCUAUCACAUGCAAUCUCAUAAACACUCUGAGAUUUUUGGGAAAGGUUAGAAAAUCUGAGAAAGAUCCAAGGGGUUUGUGCUCAAAACUACCACCAUGGGCCCCUGAAGAAGUACACAAAAUGUAAAAUAAAUGCAUAAUAGCAUCAUGCACUAUUUCCUGUAAAACAAUAUGCUUUUUAACUUGACUGCUAUAAACAGAAAGUAAAUCUUCCAUAGCUCUGCAUUGUGUUUCAAAUAUACUGAAAGUCAGGAAAUGACAGCAAGAGCAGGUCAAACUGGAAGGUGCUGAAAGCAGUUGGCAUGAUGCACCACAGAGAGACAAGGUGCUUCUGCCAGACUUUUGUAGGGAACAUACACAC
This is a long non-coding RNA of Poecilia reticulata (guppy), 2766 nucleotides long. RefSeq lists it as uncharacterized. NCBI's taxonomy places the organism in Eukaryota, Metazoa, Chordata, Actinopteri, Cyprinodontiformes, Poeciliidae. The record is from RefSeq and is a predicted model, not a curated record.